GACGGGCUACGUCGGAGUGUUGUCUUAGAUUCGAAUGCAUGAGGAACUGGAAUAAUCAGUAACAUUUCUCCCAGACAGAGCUGCUCUAAGCUGUGGGCCAACAGGAGGCUGGGAGCUCUCCUCUAAAUUGCUUUGUGACCUUGGACAAGAACCCUCCCCUUCCUGGACUGCAAAUUUCCUCCUCUGUAAAAUGAAGGGUUAGAAAGGGUCUCGUUCUGUUGCCCAGGUGAGCCUGGAGUGCAGUAGUACAGUCACAGCUCACUGCAGCCUCAAACUCUUGGGCUCAAGAGAUGUUCCUGCCUCAGCCUCCCAAGUAGUCGGGACUACAGGCUCUGGCUGAGAACAUGGCCAAUGACAUUGAUGAGCUCAUUGGCAUUCCCUUCCCCAACCACAGCAGUGAGGUCCUGUGCAGCCUCAAUGAGCAACGGCACGAUGGCCUGCUGUGUGACGUGCUCCUGGUGGUGCAGGAGCAGGAGUAUCGGACCCACCGCUCCGUCCUGGCUGCCUGCAGCAAGUACUUCAAGAAGCUUUUCACAGCCGGCA
Molecule: long non-coding RNA, 543 nt
Filed under: Homo sapiens (human)
Lineage: Eukaryota; Metazoa; Chordata; Mammalia; Primates; Hominidae
Description: non-protein coding lnc-SMAD2-3:17
Source: RNAcentral